RNAcentral lists this long non-coding RNA (2534 nucleotides) under Helicoverpa zea (corn earworm). RNAcentral's name for it is "uncharacterized LOC124634381". Lineage: Eukaryota; Metazoa; Arthropoda; Insecta; Lepidoptera; Noctuidae. The record is from RNAcentral.
AGUUUUAGAUAUAUUUACAGACAUAUUAUGCAUCAAUAUACUGUAUUAUUUCAUUGAGAGCUUGAUCGCAAAGUUGUCAAUGGAUAUUGAAGCAGAAUGGCGACAACGUAAUGAAAAUUCAUAUCUGCACAGUUAUAAGACCGACCUUACACUCGUAAGUUCUGCUUAAGUAUUUUAUGUAAUUCUUACGAUAAAUAGUCCUUUAAAUAAUACCCCCGAUAAAAAAAAAAACCCUUCGUAGGUCGCUUAGAACUUCUUACAACUUGCGAAAGUUACGCAAUUUUUACAGAAGCAGCUUACAAGUGUAAGUUCGGGGUAUGGAAACACUUAUAAUAUAAUAUGUAUUUAUAUGUAUUUUGGAAUAAUAUAAUUUACAACCAGUUAAUUUCACAACAAUUAUACACAUUGAUACAUGGAUGCCAUUUAUGACAAACCAACAGUCCAGAUAUGAUUAAAAAUAUCGAUUAUGAUUUACUUUAUAUCGAUGUAUCUUCUUACGAAUUUAACUGAGAUUAUAUUAGGAACUUAGUUACUUUUAAACAUAGAAGAAAUAUUAACUAAAAGAAAUAAACGGAUAAAGGCUACACGUGUCUCAGAUUGUAGAAACGAACAAUGAUUUUAUAGUGCCAAUUUGCCUAAACGUUCUUAAUAAAAUAUAAAUUAAGCUAAAAUAAGACCUCGUAAAUAAAUAUUACCCUUUCGCCACAUUUACUUAAAAUCUGCAUACGUUUAAUAACUGAUAUAUUAGAAGCUAACUUACUGUCGCAUCUAAAUAUUUCAAGAAAUCAUAGUUAUAGUCUCUGACGAAUUGUAUUACUUUUUCAGAGAAAUCCACGGACUGCUAUCCCGACCUUACAUCGGACGAGUCCACAAAUGGCUCAUCUCAAGUCUCGUCUGACGUCAGACCCCAAGAAUCAGAAUUCAGAAUCUUACAAACUCCAAGAGGAGACAUUCUUUUACGAAACGGGUUCGAAUAUUUUAAACGAUAUAUUUAUGCUGAUGGCAAUACUGUGUGGCAAUGUUUGAAGCCGGGAGACUGUUGUGCCACGAUCAUUACUAGAGGGAGUCUGAUAGUCGAUGAGCAGACACAUAAGUGUAACGUGGAAUCUGAGAGGAAUAGGCUCAUGAUAAAGCAGUUACAACUAAGAUGGAUGCCGUUUAUGCAAAUGCUGACACUUAUGUAAAAAAAGUGUGUAUUUUAUGUGAUGUGUGAUGUAGUUUGGAAAAAGAUAUUAACUUAAAUACAACUUUUAUUUGUAUUCAUGUGUGUAUGUUUAAUAAAUUAAAUGAAAAAGUAAUGUGGCCCCCAUUAUCUUAUUCCAUUAUAAAGAUUAUAUUCUAAAGGAAAUAAAUGUGGUGACCAGUAUUAUAAAUCGAUGUAAAUGCAUUUAUGUAUUUUAAAAUUAAAUCGAAAUUGUUAUCAAUUUUAUCGAUGUGCUAUUUUAGAAAUACAUCUUCAAAAACAGUAGUUGUUAUCAAUUUUAUGUAUGUUGAAAAAUUAUAGCUAUGAAGUCAUUAAAACAUAAGUACUUUAUGUAAAAAAAAACUCUCGUCCGUAUUAUUGACGUUUUUGACAAAUUGACACUUUAUGUUCAUAUUUCUAAAAUCUGAGCUUAUCUGCUACACAAAGACUAACUUUAAUAAAAAAUACUAUUUCUCUGUAAUAGACAUUUAUAUGGAAUACUUAAGGAACUUAAUAAAUAGUCGAUUAUACCCGCAUUCAAAUGCAAUUUAUAAUAAGAUUUUAUUUAAUGUAUGAUUAUAUUAGGAAAAAAAAUGUUAUGUACUUGACGGAAUGUAAAAUUAAUUUGUGAGAAUAUUUUGUCAAUAGUGUAUGAUCUUAGAAAACAUAGAAUAAGAUAUACAUAUUAUAAAAGAAAGCUGUUUUACCUUUGUUUAAAAUGUAAACAAUUUUGCCAAAUCUGUACAACUUUAUACUGCUCUGAAGAACCUGUUAUUUUAAAGAUUAUUUUAUAUGUAGACUGAUUAUUUUAAGCUGGUGGUAAAUAUUGUUUCAUUCUUUGACAUUCAAUGUCAGUUAUAUUUAAAUUAUCUGUAAGUAUUUUUCAAGUCGAACAAAGAUUAUCUAUAUCUUAUUUGUAAUAGAUUUUUCACAAAACUUGUUUACACUUUACCAAACGAAAAAAAAGUUGAAUACGGGUUUUAUAUAGGAACAAAUUUUAUGUUGGAGGGUGUGUGUGCUUGUUUUGCUUGUCAACGACAGUAUGUCCUAUGGUGACAACAAUGGCGUGACAAUUCCUUGACUUACUGUCAGCACAUAACCAUUUCACUCGUGACGAACAAACCGAAUGUCGAGUAUAUCUGUAGCCGCGAAUCUUCAUAAUCUUUGCCCCGAUCUCCGAUGUGUAGAAUAUAGGACGAUCUGCUGAAAAAAUAUUGUAUUUAUAUUGUAUAAAAUAUUCUAGAAAUAAUCAAAUAAUUUAUUAAUGUGUUUAAAUAUUAAUUGUAUUGUAUUAUCUAGUCGUUAUUGUAUAACCAUGGUACCAUUUAAAAAAUAAAAUAAUGUUUAAUGA